AUCAUCAACGCAACUCUCUGGCACUGGAAAUGCCUCAACAGAAAGUAAAGUUUUCAUUCCUAAAAUGAAAGAAAUCCAUUUAGAGGGCAUGCCUACGUCUACAUACAGCUUUCUGUGCCCUCAUGCUGGUCAGUUCCAGUGUAAAAUCACCAACAUUGUGUUUGAGAUGGAGGAGAAAGGGGAGGUGCAGUACAGAAUCGUCUCCUGGGAUACCCAUCUCUUGGAUGGCUUGGGUCACAUGCAGCCUGCAGGACCCCUGUAUGAAAUAGACUGCUGUGAAGGUUCAGUCAGUCAUCUACACCUGCCACACUG
Molecule: non-coding RNA, 312 nt
Organism: Electrophorus electricus (electric eel)
Lineage: Eukaryota; Metazoa; Chordata; Actinopteri; Gymnotiformes; Gymnotidae
Source: RefSeq, a predicted model, not a curated record